This 253-nucleotide ribosomal RNA is filed under the name uncultured bacterium. Its description in RNAcentral is "partial 16S ribosomal RNA". It matches the Rfam family "Bacterial small subunit ribosomal RNA", at positions 524 to 776 of the family's 1533-position model. The record is from RNAcentral.
GACGGAGGAGGCAAGCGUUAUCAGGAAUUAUUGGGCGUAAAGGGUACGUAGGCGGCUGGUCAAGUCUGGGGACAAAGGCCACAGCUCAACUGUGGGAAGGCCCUGGAAACUGACCGGCUAGAGUGAGGUAGGGGUUGCGGGAAUUCCCGGUGUAGCGGUGAAAUGCGUAGAGAUCGGGAAGAACACCUGAGGCGGAAGCGCGCAACUGGGCCUCAACUGACGCUGAGGUGCGAAAGCGUGGGGAGCGAACGGG